Molecule: unclassified non-coding RNA, 2711 nt
Filed under: Leishmania donovani
Lineage: Eukaryota; Euglenozoa; Kinetoplastea; Trypanosomatida; Trypanosomatidae
Description: gene:LdHU3.21.1320(CDS-product:aspartyl-tRNA_synt hetase_putative)
Source: RNAcentral
CCCAUACAUGCGCGCAGACGCACACGCGUACGUGUCACGUCGACGGCUCAGCAGGAGAGUGUUGGCAGUCUCACCCCCGCUCCCCUCGCUAUUACACCCCUCCCCAUCCUUCCUGCGGGGCACACGUCACCUUCACGACGUGCUCUGAGGAAGUAGAGGAGCGAUCAAGGUCCAACAGUGCGGGAUGCUGCGGGUGUCGCUUUCGUCGUGCGUGCCAUGUCGCCUGCGUGGCAUUGCAAGGCCCACGUCCGGAAUGGUGGCCGCGGUGGUCGUCGUUGCGUCUUCGUCAGCGGUGUCCGAGAGACGGACAUCUCUCCCUGACUCACAGGUCUCCGCGCAGCGCUUCUGCAGUACGAGCGCCAGCGGCACCCAAGGUGCUUCCAGCAUCAGUUCGCCUCAUUGUUCCCCAUCGUCUCCACCCUCUACCCCAUCUGCUGCCCCGACGGAGGCAGCCACGUUGACUAACGGCGCCAUCUCGGGAGGCGUCUGCGGCAGAACGUGCCUGACUGCACACGGCACCUCCAUUGCCUCCCUCCGCGCUGCCUUUAACGGCAGCUGCGGUGAGAGUGGAUGCGUUCGCGAAGGCGACGAGGUCACCGUGCGGGCUCGCUUAGAGCGGACGCGCGGCCGCGGCAGGCUUGCCUUUCUCCACCUCCGGCAGCCGCCGCUGGAGUCCGUGCAGGCAGUGUGCGAGGGCAAGGAGCUGACGAAGCAGGCGAGGAGCAUUACGCCAGAGUCUAUUGUCGAUGUCACGGGCGUCGUGCGCCGCGCGGACACCCCUGUGCAGUCGACCACGUGCCGGGGGUGGGAGCUGCAGGUGACGGCGCUGCAUGUCGUCAGCCAGGCGGCCGCCCCGCUACCGUUUCCGUAUCACGACAUUAACGCAAAGCUGGACACCCGCCUCAACCACCGCGUUAUGGACCUCCGCACAGAAAAAAUGAUCGCGACGUCGCGGCUCGUGUCGGCCCUCGGGCAGAGCUUCCGCAACGAGCUUCUCGCACGCGAUUUCAUCGAGGUGCACACGCCGAAGCUGCUCGGGGCCGCGUCGGAGGGCGGCAGCAACGUGUUCCGGGUGGACUACUUUGAGCGCAAGGCGUACCUGGCGCAGUCACCGCAGCUGUACAAGCAGAUGAUGGUCAUGGGCGACGCGAUGCGGGUGUUUGAGGUCGGGCCGGUGUUUCGCGCCGAGAAUAGUCUGACGCAUCGGCACUUGACGGAGUUCGUUGGUCUCGAUGGUGAGAUGGUGGUCAAAGACAGUCACACAGAGGUGCUCGACGUGCUGGAGCCAGUCAUGUGCGCUGUUCUGGCGCACCUCACACAGCAGCACGGCAACCUUAUCGAUGCUCUCUGGAAGCAGCAACAGCAGCAAGGGGAAGGACUGCAAAACGGCGGCGGUGAUCCGCAACCUGCCACCGCUGCGGAGCCGCCUCGCUGUGGCAGUCGCGGUCACGCGCCGCGUGAUGUGUGCUGCGAGGUAGCACUAGAUCGCGUGACGUCCUUGGGGAUCACCACAGACGCCUCUCCGACGACGCGGACACCGUUCAAAAUCUCCGCGCAAGUUGAUCCUUAUCACGCUCGCGUGGGCGGAGACGGUAGUGGGUGCCGCGUGCUUCGCAUGAGCUUCGCAAACGCGUCGCAGCUGCUGGCGGGCUGCGGCGGCGCAGGGGCCAUGGCCGACUGCACACUGCCUGUUGAGGACUUUACGCUGCCGCAGGAGCGCCGCCUUGGCCAGCUCAUAAAAGAGCGCUACGGGGUUGACCUCUACGUGAUCGACAGCUUUCCUUCCUCUGCCAGGCCCUUUUACACGAUGCCGGUGGACCCAUCAACGCCGGACGGCCCAACGCGGAGCUACGAUAUGUACCUACGUGGGGAGGAGAUCUGCAGCGGUGCACAGCGUGUCCAUCAGAUAGAGCUGCUGGAACAACGGCUGUCGGCGAAGAAGGUGGACAAGGUGAGCGUGAAGGACUACGUCGACUCCUUCCGCUACGGCGCGUGGCCACACGGCGGCUUCGGCCUGGGACUCGAGCGCAUUGCCCUCUUCUUCCUCGGCCUCGACGACAUCCGGCAGGUGUCACUGUUCCCACGCGACCCGAAGCGGAUCAGCCCGUGAUGCCGCCCACCCUCCCGUCCCUUCUACCUCAGAGGAAAGGAGAGAGGCAAAUGAGGUGAUGGACUGAAGCAGUGCGUGCCCAGCCGUUUGGCGCUGUGACGCUUCGCCAACGCCCGCCUCGCACAUGCACACCAACAGACUCAGAGGUGGAUAGGGGAGUCGGCGGCGAUGUCUGCGAUCGUACGCUGUGUGUGUGUGCGGGUGUUUACGCCCUAUUCUCUCUGCCCCUCGCCCCCCAACUCUUACACACAUACACACACGCUUGUGCGCGCAUGCACGAGUGUGCUCCACAUCAUCAGAAAAGGUAAUCACCAAAAACGAACGAGGAGAACACGUGAGCCUCAGCCACGCCAAACCUCCCUCUCCACAGCAGCAGCACAAAUCCAACCCGCUCGUCAAGUAUUGUUGACGUGCGAGGAGAUGACAAGGGGGCCUUGCCUGUGGAAAGAUCGUUUCUCCCUUCCCGCUACCACCACCCCACUGCCAGGCCACGUGCAAGCAGGUGCGCGCACCGGUGAUGGGCGAUAACGAUGUGCGUCUCGUUGUGUGAGCUUGAGCGGUGCGGGAGAGACCGAGGGAAGGGAGGUGGCUGAGGGGGAGG